RNAcentral lists this long non-coding RNA (3315 nucleotides) under Gallus gallus (chicken). RNAcentral's name for it is "long non-coding RNA NONGGAT005675". The record is from RNAcentral. Lineage: Eukaryota; Metazoa; Chordata; Aves; Galliformes; Phasianidae.
UUUAUGAUCAUCUAGUUCCAACUCCCCUGCUAUAGGCAGGAACACCUCCCUCUGAACCUGGAUGAUCUGAAGCUGGGAAGAUUGGCCAACCCCUCAGAAGGUCAUGCUGCCAUUCAGGGAGACCUGCAUGGGCUGAGAGUUGGGCAGCGUGGAACCUGGUUUCACCAAAGCCCCAUCAUUGGCGAAGGUCUGACCACAGUGACCUCCUGCACACCUCACACCACUAAAUCUCAGUGCUCCGAGAAGAACCUGAAGGCAUGUGAGAUGUUCAGCUCUCUGCUGUCUUUCAGUGUGCAGACUCACCUUUUCACCCAAGGAAGGAACUGAUGUCACCACCUGGAGAUCUGCAACAUCUCUGGGAGGAUCUGCGUGCCUGUGAUCACAGCAGAGUGCGACUGCAGCAGCCAGUGGCUUCCCAGGAAGAAGAGGGCUUUGGGAUGGGUGGUACCUGGAUUUACUUUCCACAGGACUGCACAGGCUUGAUUCAGCUCCCACUGAGAGAUAUGAAAUUGCUUCAACAGAAACAGGACCUGACCUUAACCGAGAGACAAGCCAGGACCUGGAGCAGCCCCAGCCGCGUGACACAGGCACAGACAUGCCAGCAGCCACCUCCUCACCCUGCCCUGGUUUGUAUUGCAGUCAGUCCCUGGGAGAAAAUAGAAAUUCAUCACAAUGAGCAACACAGAGGCUUGGCUCGGUAGUGUCAUUUAAUGCCUGAUAAUCCCUCAUCCCAAUUUGCUUCAAUUUAUUAGAUGUCCCUGGAAACAGGUGUGAUGGAAAUACCAUGGAAACGUGAGACAAGUGGAGCCAUCAGUUCACAGCCUCUCCAGCAGCAGUUUCAUCAGGGAGAGCAGAGCUGACAUCACAUGGGCACCUCCCUCUCCUCCCUCCUUCAUGUCGAGCCCAAAGACAGCCCCACGCUGCAGCCUAAGGGGCACUUUUCAUCAGGACUGGAGUGGGAAUUGUGUCCACAACUGUCAGCACCAACAGCCCUCCCAAAGUAAUCCCAACUUGGGCAGAAAGGGGCAGAUUAAAUUGCCCGAGCUAAGCUGCUUGCAUCUGGAGACACCCAGUAGGGUGUUGCUUCCCUCUCCCCAGCCCUUACGCUUCAGCAGUGCCACUUGGCUCAGAUAAUUUACUUUUAAUAGUCUGGUUACAAAUGAGAUUGCAAAGGAAGCACGUGAUUCUGAACUGGGAUUUCUGAGUCACAUUCUCAUUUCCCCCUAGUGCCUCCUAGGCCUCUAAUAAACUACAAAGAGACAUUAAGAAAACAAUAAGAACUCCUUAUCUACUGAGACUGGGGAGCAGGAACAGUGAGCCGGCAAUAAUGGAUUCUGCGUAUCUGCAGUACGUUCCUGUGGCAGCAACUGAACGAGGGGAAUGGGAAGUUCGAGUGCUCAGGACAUGGACUGCCCAGAUCAGUUGGCCAGCAGUGUGUAGACAGCAGGUUUCUGCAGCGACCCACAAAAUGUGUUCUCCCUGCUUGACCCAUCCCACUGCGUUUCUGACUGCACUUGGACAUGGUGAAGAUUGGUAGCAUUGAGCUCAGAUCCCAGUCAAGAAAUUUGAAAUUGGAUUUGAGGGAAAGAAAACAAAAACAAAAUGCAAUCAACAGGGACAGGGAAGAAAAGAGUUGCUGAAGAGUGUGAGCCUCCAGAAGCUGGAAUAGGAAAGAACAGAACCAUUCAAGCAUCCCCUGGUAUGGUGUUCCUUCCUCAAGUCCCUGCAAUUGGUCUGGUCCUGCGUCUCACUAAGCACACCCUUCUUGUGCCAUCUCUCAGGAAUGUGGAAAGGUCCACAGCACAUUAUGGAGCAUAAGCAUGUGUGGUCCAUCCGCUGACUCCCUCUGAAUCCUGUCCUACAACAACAAAUAUAUGUGCUCCUGCCAUUAAAAACAAGGUGAAAACGAGGAGCUGUGCAAAGUUAAUCAGAGAGCUGAAAUGAGAUGUUGGAGAAAGGGGCUGUGGGUGACGUGGGGUUUGCAGUCAGCUGAGCGAUGUGAAAUCUCUUGUAUCUGCCUGAGCUCUGAAAGGAAAUGCUUUAUUAAAUCUUCUUUGUGUGAGAUUUCAAGCUGCCUCUGGACUGGAAAAUAGGACCAUUCCGUGUGGCAUCUAAUCAGAACUGAAGUAUUUAGUGCAGGCUUUUCUGCAGAGCAGACUGAUCAGCAUAGACAAGUAACUCAGAAGUCUCAGCAUUCAAAAAGCUGAAUUAGACACAGUACAUCUGUGGUCUGCUGUGCACCUCUCCUACACAGUAUCCCCCAAAAUGCUUCACAGAAGGAACCAUGCAACAAGCCAGGCGUUGGGAAGGCAGCACAACAGGACAUAAAUGCACACCACUGAAUCCUAACCAGCCAGAAGGUCUCAGCUCCACUAUCUGCAUUUGCAUUCCCACGGACACGUAGGAGUUGCCAUGACUGAAAAGAUUCACUGAGUUUCCUUUCCACUGCCUGUCCUGGAAGCCAUUGGUGUCAUUGCUUCAUGCUGAGACAUCACUGUGUUAUGGGAAGCUGCAGCCUCUGACCAUCUAUGUCCAGCACUCAUGGGGCUUUGCUGUAAGCAGGUGGGUAGCUCACAGCUCUGCCCACCACAAACACUUGCAGAAAGUAAACACUAAAAAGAAAAAAGAAAAACAAGAGCCAGGCACCACAGUCAGAGGUGAGGACAAGGGAGGGGCUCCUGGAGCACCACCCUGUGUCACACAAGCUCCCUUUUGCACGUCUUCUCUCUCCGUCUGUGUUUGGCCACGUUUUCAGGAAAAUGAGACCUGAUCAGAGGCAGGAGAGGAAAUAUCAACCGGACUGCCUCCUCCUCAACCUCCCUUACUUCGCAUUUUAGCCUACCUGGAGCUGAGGAGGCUUAAAUCUCACUCUGCCUGCUGGAAAUCUCAGGGUUUGAGCUCCUGAUCUGCUUUCUGCAAACUCCAAUGGGAAAGCGUCCCAUGGACUGAGAUGCACAGAGCAUUCCCCUUCCCUUGCACCGCCCCUGCUGCAGAUGAACUCCUUGCCUACCUUUUGUUGCUGACAAGAAGCAGGACUGAGCCGUUCUGGAUAUUGGCUGCUUUCAAAGUCUCAUGCUCUUCAAGCUGCCUGGAGUUGUAAUAAAAUGUUUUCUUCCAGGAAGUGACGCCCUCCCGUACUAGGUAAGCCCGUAGGUCCAUCACUGUGUCUCUGGGCUUGACGGUCAGCGGCAUCAUCAGGUCCUCAUCAGCCAAGUGCACCUUAAUGUGGUACCUCUUCCAGCGAGAAAGGCUUCUUCGCAGUGUGUCCAUCCUCUCCGGCUCACCAGGGACGGUGUGGCAGAGAGGAGCAUCCAG